This 933-nucleotide long non-coding RNA is filed under the name Sus scrofa (pig). RNAcentral's name for it is "lncRNA (ENSSSCG00070030040.1)". Lineage: Eukaryota; Metazoa; Chordata; Mammalia; Artiodactyla; Suidae. The record is from RNAcentral.
CCCGGCUCGGAUCCCGCGUUGCUGUGGCUCUGGUGUAGGCCGGUGGCUACAGCUCCGAUUUGACCCCUAGCCUGGGAACCUCCAUAUGCCGCGGGAGCGGCCCAAAGAAAUAGCAAAAAGACAAAAAAAAAAAAAAAAAAAAAAAAAGUGGGGCCAACAUGGUCCCAGCCCUCUGAAUUUUUGACAGUUCCUCUUAAAACCAUUUUAUGAAUAUUUUCAGACAGAUGCGCAGAAGUAGAAUAGUACAGUGAAUCGCCCACCACUUAGGUUCAACAAUUAUCCAGACUUGGCUUCAUCUAGCCUCUACUUUUUUGGGGAUCCUGUCUGAAUUUGGGGAGACAGGAAUUAUUACAUCAGCUGCCCUGGUGUUCUGAGCAUGCCCUGAACUGUGUAUACCCUUGGAGGUUUUUUGUUUUUAUUCAGAGCAGCUUGAUGUAUUAUCAUAUAUCGUGAGCAAGUGUCUUUUCCUGCGUGUAUAUGAAAGGGAUCACAGAUCCUUCUAGGUCUUGCGAUUGCAUUGCUUUUAUUGCUGGCUUCCUCUGGCACCGUGUUGACUGUUUCCCGCUCAGUCCUUCCUCAAGGGAGGAGGUUCCCACAGCCGUGGAAGGGACCAGUUCUCCGGCAGCCCAUUGCUCCAGUCCGUUGGUGGUCACCGGACUAUCUGCUUUCUUUUGUAAGGAUGCAGCGAAUCCCUGCUCCUCCUCCCCAGGUGAGAAAUGACCGUCUCCAUCAAUCGUCGCUUUUCCUGGAUCUCCUCAUAGACAGGCUGCCAGCUGUUUUGUUCAUGACUGCUCAUAGGAGGCCCUUGACAAAGAUGGUGAAACCGAGGGGAAGGGAGCAGUGGCCACACAACGUUUCGCGGGGAGCGCAGCAAAGCCUCUGCGAUGGACCCCGUGCUUCGGCUACACCAGACCAGGUAAAGCCUUUAACCCG